This 890-nucleotide long non-coding RNA is filed under the name Marmota monax (woodchuck). The record is from RNAcentral. Lineage: Eukaryota; Metazoa; Chordata; Mammalia; Rodentia; Sciuridae.
CCGGAGCUUCCCUCCUCCCUCGGCACAGAGAGCAGCAGGGGCCUGGGCAGGUUUCUGGAGGAGCCGGGACGGGAACUGCCUCGGCCUCCUGGGUCUGGGUCCGCAGAGACUGGGGUGGAGUCUCACCCAGGGAGGGUGCAAACAGCGAGGCCACUGAGACAUGUGGACACCCCCAGGGUGCAGUGAGCGGCCACAGCAGGGCUCCCAGGGAGGAGGGGCACUAGGCACCGGGCUUGGGCCUCGGGCCUGCACCUCCUGGGGGUGGAGGAAGAACCCGCCAUCACCUUGCCCGGUGGCUUCCAUUUAAGCUGUCAACCUCGGGUGGGGGUGACAUGGGACACUGCACUCUGAGGGGGCGAUGGCUCCUGGGAUGAGUGACGUGAGCUCCAGCAAGUGCCCCGUCCCCCAGGCAGAGCGCCAUCAUCCUCUCCAUCAGGCGGAGGCUCCACAGAGGUGACGGAGCCGCUUCCUGGAGCGGCUGUCACGUGGGUUGGUCACCACAGAGAAGCAGCCCUCCAGAGGUCCCUCCAGAGGGCCUGACGUUGGACAUGAGCGCUUCCCAAAUGUGUCUUCCAGACCCAUCUUUGCAGUAAAACCCGCACUUCAUUAGCGCACUGAGCAGGAGCUUUACUCCUGGAUUCAUUUGUCCUUCUUCACUCUGGAAAAACUCUGCGAGCAAAACCCUGGAGGGAGGGAGGGAGGUACCUGCUGGAGCCUCGGAGGACCCCUGGGUGAGCCCUCAGCCCGAGGCCACCUUCCUGGACCUCAGGGCUGGGUGGGGACAUGGAAAGGACAGCACCGGGGGUUGGCUGGGUGCUAGGUGGGCUUGGUAUGUCCCUACCACACUGUCCCACCUGUUCCUCCAACCUCACAAUAGAGGACCAGCGGGC